RNAcentral lists this long non-coding RNA (2391 nucleotides) under Lynx pardinus (Iberian lynx). The record is from RNAcentral. Lineage: Eukaryota; Metazoa; Chordata; Mammalia; Carnivora; Felidae.
CAAGGGGGAGGGGGCCGGCGCGGCCGCUGCCGGCGGUCAUUGACAGAGCCUCGUAAUGGGCGCCCAAAUUCGUUUACUCGCGAAUUGCGUAAGCGGCCCUCCCCGUACAGGUCAGCGCGAAUUACGCGGGCUUGUUGCCUGCCGCCUCGGAGCUGGGCCCACCGCUACAGCCUCAGUUCCCACCACUCCCCGCCUUGCACUUGAUGCUCCGGCAACGUUGAACUGUUUUCUCUCCUUGCUUUUGCUGACGCUGGCCCGCCUGCCUGGCUUGCCUUCCGCCUACCUUUGCCCGACUGAUUCCACUAGCCCUUUAAGGCUCGGAUCUGUUACCUUACCCAGCAGCUACCCCUCCCCACCAGUAGAUGCUCUCUUCUGGGCUCCUUGGCUUCCUGUUUACACCUCUGUGACUGCGCUUGGUUUUACACAUGGUUUUGUUUACCUUUCUUCAAGUUUCUUGAAGCUAGGGGCAAUGGCAGAAGUAAUGCCUUGCCCUCAAAGAGCUUUCCAUCUCAUUAGAGAAAGAAGGCUAGCCGUAGAACCAUGGACCUGCUACAGGAGAAUCAAGGUAGCAUACUUUCAGGAGCUGAUUUGGAUGAUACACAGAUGAUACAAAGAUGGUGAGAACAGGAUCUGGGUCCACUGGGGUCAAGGAACUGUGACAGCCUUGGUGAUGUGCUGCCAGCUUUAAUCAGGAUUCCUGGCUGAUUUGUGGAGUAAAAGUCUUUAGCCAAACAAUAUUGCUACAUUUUCACAGAUUAAAGGAUGGGUGACUUCCAAAGGGUCAUUGGUGCCCUUUCCUACGACACACACAUUUCAGUAGACCUGCUGUCUGGUUAUGGAGGUGGAGGGUGGAGAGUGGGGGAGGCUGCUUAGAACGCAGCAGAACUUGGAUAUUUCAUGCUACAGUCAUGGUGGGUACAUCUGUUACAAACUAAGUAUCUUCUGAAUUCAAAUCCCAUUUAGUUUCACUUUGACUUUGCUGAUCUGUGGACUGUGGCACACUGAAUGUCAAAGAAGGAAGUAAACAUCUUUGGCCAGAUUUUGUUUUUAACUACUCAGAAGGGAAGUGAUAGGAUGAGUUGGAAGGAAAGUGCAUAGAAUUGAAUGUCGGAAGCCAUGGGUUCUGGAUCUUAGACUCCUCAUCUGUAAAGUGAGUGGGUUGGCCUGGGUGGUCUUUAAGGUUCCUUCUGGCUCUAACAUUCUACACUUUUAGGAUUUUAAUUCCUGGUUGACAUUUGGCUAAGCAGAAGACACCGGAUGAGAGACCAGCUUAUUAAAGAACAUCUCUCUAGGGACGACUGGCGUGAGCACUGGCCUGGGAGUCUGAAGAUUGUGCCUUUAGAUUCUCUUCAUCACGAAAGCUGGUGACUUUCGGCAAUCACCUAGCUUCUCGGGGACUCAUUUUCCUUAUGUGUGUGAAUACUAAGAAGGGAUUAGAUGAGGUGAUCUGUUGAAGACCCUUCUGGUUCUUAAUUUCUAGUUGUCAGACUUAAGCACGGUUUAAUGGCUAGGUAAAGAGCUCUGACCUUGGAGUCAAUUUAUGGCUUCCAGUCCAAGCUCUGCCACUCACUAGCUAUGUAUGAUCUUUCCUCGGCUCCUCUGCACCUUGUUUCCUUCUCUGUUAAAUAAGGAUAUCUGCUCUGUUCACUUCAGAAGACUCUUGCAGAGGUUAAAUGUGUGUGAGAGAACUCGCUAAACUUUAACGUGCUAUAUACAUUUUAAGAGGUAUUAGUUGCUGCUUCAGACGUUGAUCAGCUGAGAUAAAUCUUCAAGGUGUCACUUGGGAGAAGCCUGGCCCUGAAAUGAAGCAGGCAGCUAGCUGGAAGUUGACUUUGUGAGUUCUCCCGCUUGGGACUUCUGGAGGCAGAGGAGCCUUGGCACUUUGGGGGGUGGGCGGUGCAUUUACAAAGCAGUCUGGGGAGUAAGCAAGGAACCAGGCCACAGCUCAGCAAGAAGGGAGGCCUGCAGUAAGGACAGAGUGGUAUGGUGGAUGUCACAGGCCGUGGUCCUCAAGGACCUGCCUUCGCCUCUCUUCUGGGGCGUCGGGUGGACGAGAGAAGGAAAAUGGCAAAUUGUUAAAAAGUACACAUGUGUAGAAAGUAGUAAAACUGUAAGGCUCUCUUAUGUAUUGUUGGAUUCUUGGAAAUUCAUAUUUUCUUCUAUGUAUUUUCCAAAUUUUCUAUAAUGAAUAUGUAUUUUUUGAAUCCGAAAAAUAAAAAUUAAAAAAAUUGGAGGAGAUCGUUUUUACAAAUGUGGGUUCUUCUUUUUCUGCUGUUAUUUCUCAUUUGAUUAAAGAAAUAAUAAAAGUUAUUGAAAUUAGGAUAUGUCUUGUCUUCCAAAUCACUGUUAGAUUUUUAUGCUUUUCAACCAAUAUGUUUUUAUAGUUUGAAG